UAUAUAUUAGUGUUAAAUGCACAAAAAUUUUUGAAUUUUUUAGUAAUAAUUAAAAUUAUUAUAUAUAU
RNAcentral lists this transfer RNA (68 nucleotides) under Trichogramma cacaeciae. RNAcentral describes it as "tRNA-Gln". Lineage: Eukaryota; Metazoa; Arthropoda; Insecta; Hymenoptera; Trichogrammatidae. The record is from RNAcentral.